This 280-nucleotide ribosomal RNA is filed under the name uncultured Pseudomonas sp. Its description in RNAcentral is "partial 16S ribosomal RNA". It matches the Rfam family "Bacterial small subunit ribosomal RNA", at positions 1105 to 1382 of the family's 1533-position model. The record is from RNAcentral. Lineage: Bacteria; Pseudomonadati; Pseudomonadota; Gammaproteobacteria; Pseudomonadales; Pseudomonadaceae.
UUGUCCUUAGUUACCAGCACGUUAUGGUGGGCACUUUUUCAAGGAGACUGCCGGUGACAACCGGAGGAAGGUGGGGAUGACGUCAAGUCAUCAUGGCCCUUACGGCCUGGGCUACACACGUGCCACAAUGGUCGGUACAAAGGGUUGCCAAGCCGCGAGGUGGAGCUAAUCCCAUAAAACCGAUCGUAGUCCGGAUCGCAGUCUGCAACUCGACUGCGUGAAGUCGGAAUCGCUAGUAAUCGUGAAUCAGAAUGUCACGGUGAAUACGUUCCCGGGCCUU